This is a small nuclear RNA of Equus asinus (donkey), 111 nucleotides long. NCBI's taxonomy places the organism in Eukaryota, Metazoa, Chordata, Mammalia, Perissodactyla, Equidae. The record is from Ensembl.
GGACUUGCUUUGGUAGUACAUAUAGUGACAUUGGAAUGAGAAGAGUAGAGAAGAUCAGCAUAGCUUCUGUGCAAAGAUGACACACAAAUUUGUGAAGUGUUUAUAUUUUUA